GACGAACGCUGGCGGCGUGCUUAACACAUGCAAGUCGAACGGACAGGUCCUGCUCUUGUGGGUUGCACGAUAGGGGCGCGCGUGAGUAUAACAUGAGUAAAAUCCCCUUGUAUUAGGGAUAACUUCAGGGGAAACGGGCGAAAACACCGUAGAAGAUCCUGCAGCGUGGGGGUGGUUGGAGAAUUUCGGCGGUGGUGGCUGGAAUCGCGGGUUAUCAGCUUGAUGGGGGGGUAGUGGAUUACAAGGGCUUUGACGGGUAGCCCGCCUGAGAGGGUGACCGGCGACAUGGGGACUGAGAUACGGCCCAGACUCCUACGUUAGGCAGCGGUGGGGAAUAUUGCACAAUGGGCGGAAGCCUGAUGUAGCAACGCCGCGUGCGUGAUGACGGCCUUUGGGUGGUAAACCGCUUUCGCCUGUGCCGAAGCGUGAGUGACGGUAAUUGGUAAAGAAGCACCGGCUAACUACGUG
RNAcentral lists this ribosomal RNA (468 nucleotides) under uncultured bacterium. RNAcentral describes it as "partial 16S ribosomal RNA". It matches the Rfam family "Bacterial small subunit ribosomal RNA", at positions 28 to 507 of the family's 1533-position model. The record is from RNAcentral.